UGCGGCGUUUGCAACAACUUCCAUGCUUUCAGACCUCUUCAGUUGUGCGGCAAGGCUUGUAUCGCCUUGAGCGUAUUGUGGGUUUUCUGUGUUGGCUACCUAAUCAAUGGUAUCGGUUGGAUUGAUCAAUGUUUCAUUUCGUCUACCGUCGCAUUCGCGGCGUGAGAUGAACCUUGAUGCGGUCUCUUUGAUCCACCUCGUCGAAGCGCAUGCUUUGGCGUUGUGGCACAUUGAGCAUUGCUUGGUCUCUUGUAUACGGAACAUAUAGUGGGCAUGGAUCUAACGAUUCUCGUUUGCCCUCAUAUUAGCGUAACGCUUCUCUUACACGACUUGCWCCACGUUUUAGCUCGUACGGACGUGGUGCUAUGUCGAAGAGGAAUGCUACCUGGUUGAUCCUGC
Molecule: unclassified non-coding RNA, 399 nt
Filed under: Artemisia santolina
Lineage: Eukaryota; Viridiplantae; Streptophyta; Magnoliopsida; Asterales; Asteraceae
Also listed under: 1 other name
Description: partial external transcribed spacer
Source: RNAcentral